This 237-nucleotide ribosomal RNA is filed under the name uncultured bacterium. RNAcentral describes it as "partial 16S ribosomal RNA". It matches the Rfam family "Bacterial small subunit ribosomal RNA", at positions 15 to 229 of the family's 1533-position model. The record is from RNAcentral.
GAUCCUGGCUCAGGACGGACGCUGGCGGCGUGCUUAACACAUGCAAGUCGAACGAAGAGCGAUGGAAGCUUACUUCUAUCAAUCUUAGUGGCGAACGGGUGAGUAACGCGUAAUCAACCUGCCCUUCAGAGGGGGACAACAGUUGGAAACGACUGCUAAUACCGCAUACGAUCUGACCUCGGCAUCGAGGAUAGAUGAAAGGUGGCCUCUAUUUAUAAGCUAUCACUGAAGGAGGGG